This 252-nucleotide ribosomal RNA is filed under the name uncultured bacterium. RNAcentral describes it as "partial 16S ribosomal RNA". It matches the Rfam family "Bacterial small subunit ribosomal RNA", at positions 524 to 776 of the family's 1533-position model. The record is from RNAcentral.
UACGUAGGUCCCGAGCGUUGUCCGGAUUUAUUGGGCGUAAAGCGAGCGCAGGUGGUUUAUUGAGUCUGGUGUAAAAGGCAGUGGCUCAACCCCGUCCGGCCGUUGAAACUGGGGGCCUUGAGUGGGCGAGAAGAAGGCGGAAUGCGUGGUGUAGCGGUGAAAUGCAUAGAUAUCACGCAGAACCCCGAUUGCGAAGGCAGCCUUCCGGCGCCCUACUGACGCUGAGGCACGAAAGUGCGGGGAUCGAACAGG